AUUCCUGACAGUUCAAAACUUAACUAUCAUUAAAACCAUGAUAACUGUGUGAUAUGACACUUUCACAGUAAAUUUGACCCUCCCAGGCACAGGUGUAGUGUGAGUUAAUGUUAAUGCAUAGCUGAUAUGGUUUUCUUAUCAUUAGGUAUUGGCUAUAUUAAUAUUAUAUUGUUUUGCAAACCAAAAGUGCACAUUGCUGCUAACUUAGUUUGUGAUUGAUGGUUGACAGUUUUUUUCUUUUCUCCCUGCAGCUCCUUUAUAGUCAACCCCCAUCACACCUUAUUGUCGUCAUUUUGAAAACCCAAAGGCACUUUUAAGAGCCAAGUCCAUCUAUCUAUCUAUCUAUCUAUCUAUCUAUCUAUCUAUCUAUCUAUCUAUCUAUCUAUCUAUCUAUCUAUCCAUCUAUCUAUCUAUCUAUCUAUCUAUCUAUCUAUCUAUCUUUCUAUCUAUCUAUCUAUCUAUCUAUCUAUCUAUCUAUCUGUCUGUCUGUCUGUCUGUCUGUCUGUCUGUCUGUCUGUCUGUCUGUCUGUCUGUCUGUCUGUCUGUCUGUCUAUCUAUCUGUCAGUCUGCCUGUCUGUCUGUCAGUCUGCCUGUCUGUUUGCCUGUCUGCCUUUCUGUCUGUCAGUCAUUUAUCAUGCCUGGGGGGUCGAUCCAAAAGAAGUGCCCCUUUUGUGAGUCCAUUUUAUUUUGUGCCCAAAACAAAUGCUCAUAUUGUAAAAUGGAGCAGCCUGCCGAGCAGCGACUGAAGAAAAGACUGAAAAAGUUUGACCAGAAGCGAGAGGAAUGGGUGGUUGGCCUUAAAAAGAACCACAACCUGGCAUCCAUUAAGGAUGAAGCUAUAGUCCUGCUUGAGAAACUCCAUGCCAUGGGCUACAAGCCGGUUCUCCUUCUUGGCAAGGAGACAAAGACGGGAGCAACAAAUUGUGAAGUUUUAACGCCUCGUUGCGAACUCACUCUUCAGGCCCAGAACUCACUCCAGAAGAUGGGCUCAUUUUAUGAGUCUAUUUGUGAAGGUUGGAGUCAGGAAAUUCCUGCAGCUGAUGAUCAGGUGAUCACACUAACCCUCACACCGUGUGACCCCUUGGAGGUCAAAAGCCAGGAGCAGGCAAGCAGCACAGAGGGAAAAGCCUACAGCUCUGACCUGAUCAGGGCUCAUGCAGAGCGAGCCCUAAACCUAAGCCCUGUGCAGACUGCUGAGGAGGUGGAGAACCCCAAAGACUUGCAGACUGCUGAGGAGGUGGAGAACCCCAAAGACUUGCAGACUGCUGAGGAGGUGGAGAACCCCAAAGACUUGCAGACUGCUGAGGUGCAGAGCAGAGAAACGAAGGAUCAGCACUUGUUGAAACAAAUUGGGAUAACCAAAUACAGGUCAGACACGGGCACAGAGCUUAAUCCAAGACGAAAAAAGAAAACAGUCAGAGGCACCAAAGCAUCUGCCUGUGAGGAAAAAGACACAGAUAAACUGCUCCUACCACUCUCGUCUAGAGGCUUUCCCCAUCAGACGAGUUGUAAAAGAAAGAUUGAGAAAUGGCAAAGAAGAAAUAUUGGUUGACUGGAAGCCCUGUCCAGUAUGUGGUAAGGAGUGGGCCCAUUCCUGGCAACCGAAGGAUUUUCUUCAAUGAAUGAAUUCAUAGUUUUUAGUUUUUUUGUACUUUAUAUUGUUUGCUAAUAUAAGUGACAUAUUAUUUGAUUGUUGUGUUUUUUUGUUGUUAUGAAAGAUAAAUAAAUUGUCAAAGAUGAACAUUUUUGGUUUUACUUCUCCAUGCAUCAUCUUAUUCAAAAACACAAUGUGAUAGUGUUAGUUGAUGAAAGGUAAUAGCUAAAGAAGAUGACGAAAAU
This 1839-nucleotide long non-coding RNA is filed under the name Dicentrarchus labrax (European seabass). Its description in RNAcentral is "lncRNA (ENSDLAG00005018586.2)". The record is from RNAcentral. Lineage: Eukaryota; Metazoa; Chordata; Actinopteri; Moronidae.